UUUCUAGUUAUCUUUGAAAGUGAUCAAGACAGGCACAGCACAGGAAGCAGCCACGCAAGCUUCUCCCAUACCCUUAUGCAUGAGCCAUAACUCUGACCUGGAAGGACCCCUCUAGAAAGACCUAUGUAAUUCAAGGACCACAUGAUAUUCCAUGGCCUCA
This 160-nucleotide small RNA is filed under the name Nannospalax galili (Upper Galilee mountains blind mole rat). RNAcentral's name for it is "TUC338 (ENSNGAG00000004208.1)". The record is from RNAcentral. Lineage: Eukaryota; Metazoa; Chordata; Mammalia; Rodentia; Spalacidae.